UCUCGGUCAUCCCCCUGCCUCCACGCAGGGCUCCUCCCACACCAGUCCUCCUCUCCACCUGCGGUUCUUCCCGCUGAGUCUGACAAUCGCCUCCAGUCCUCUCUCCAAUCUCUGACCCCCAAGUGCAGGUGAAGGGGGUGGGCGGAUAGAUCACAAAGAGACAGAUAGAGCUGCCAAGGCUUGACAGCAGAAACGGAGGGCGCCCAGGUUCCAACACAAUUCACGGCAGAAGGGCUGGUUGCUCCUCCCAGGGCCUGCUCUGCCUUUGUCGAAAAGGCUAAGUGAAAGUGAGCACCAGAUAGACUGUUCUAGAAACUCUGCCCCAGGCAGGGUAGAACAGAAACUCGGAAAUUAUUGCAGAAAAUCUCCUUUGAUGGGGAGAGGGGGGUCAGGAUGUGCCCCCCAACACCUCUGCCCACCGAGGCCCAGGUAGGGUGUCCCGGGCCAAGAAAAGGCCUUAGGACAGGAAGGUGCUUUGCAAACACAGAGCAGGAGGCAGACCGGGUCCUGGGGGCCUACACUUGCACCGCUUUCCUCAACCCUCGAGGCAGUGGGGAGACAGGGGUUUCCCGGCGGACAGAGACUCCGGGCCCAGGGCCUCUCACCCGGGGCAAGAGGUGCAGGAGGCUUCUCUAUCAUGCGCUCGGUACCCAGCACUGUGUGGUACUUAGCGGGCUCUUGCCCUCUGCCUGCUGAAUGCCAGGAGCACAUGCCGUUGUGAGCGCUGAAAUGGUCUCCUGGCGUUGCCAAGUGUCUCAGGAGCAGAACCCGCUGGAGAACGGUUGUCUUACACAGCAGGUGUCCAGAGGCUCUGGGACAGGCCCACAUUUGAAUCUAGAUGGUCUGCCGUCUCUGUGGGGGUACAAGUCCCCUUUGAAAAUCUCUCCCCAGAAUAAUAUAUGGCUCCCACCUUUAGUUUCCAGUUUAUGGGCUCCAGGUGCUUAUCCAUGGAGUGACGGUUGGGAAUAUCCGCGUCCAGGGAAUGCGGGGCUGGAGGAAAAGCUGGCUGAGUCAGUGCCCUGCUGUGAGGGUCCCUUGGGGACAAGAAGUGAGAUCUCUGCUAUGACUGGGUGACCUCAGCCUUUACCCAGGUGGACCUGCCCCUGAAGGCCAGUGGGGACGGGAUCGAUGGACUCAGGAGGUGACCUUUGGUUCUGGGCUCUGGAAUGUGAUGAUGGAGGGUGGUGGAGAAGCUUCUAGACUCCAGGAACUUCACUCCCCCUGCUCCGUUGCAUGCUUUAAAGACACCUGGAACACCACACCAACUCUCUGGCCUCGGGUUCCUGGUUUGUAAAAUGGAGGCAUGGGACUGAAGGAGGGUCUCCUGACAAUUGACACGCAUU
Molecule: long non-coding RNA, 1343 nt
Filed under: Suricata suricatta (meerkat)
Lineage: Eukaryota; Metazoa; Chordata; Mammalia; Carnivora; Herpestidae
Description: lncRNA (ENSSSUG00005022629.1)
Source: RNAcentral